CACCGACUACGCCACAGAAAACGACGGUGAUUCCUCGAUCUACUGCUAAACCCAGCACGAGUACGUGGCAACAAGGAAAUCGGGUUCAGUUUAUCAGCAACAAUUCUUAUUCAACUGGACGCCAAUCAACAGUCCGUAACUCAGGUUUACCUUUGUUACCAUGCUGGCCCCAGCAACUCACUGCCAUUAUUCUCCUGAUCGUGGUCAACAAGUUGCUGUUAUGAAUUGUUUCGUUACGAGGCCGUACAGUAUCCCUGUUUUUCAAAUCUUAAAUAAUUUAAAUAUUUCAAAUAGCUUCAACUCAGGUUGAACGCAAAGCCCCCGUUCUCACCAAAUGACAGUUUGCAAGAAAAACCAAAAAAACAACCGUAAAUCCAUUUUACCUGUUCUUCGUUAUACCCGACAAUUGUUUGUUUGUAAAUAUCACUAUACCUUUGCCGGUAAAUGCUGUAUACAUGCCAGAGAGAAAGA
This is a long non-coding RNA of Daphnia magna, 471 nucleotides long. RefSeq lists it as uncharacterized. NCBI's taxonomy places the organism in Eukaryota, Metazoa, Arthropoda, Branchiopoda, Diplostraca, Daphniidae. The transcript is spliced from 2 exons. The record is from RefSeq and is a predicted model, not a curated record.